UACGGAGGAGGCUAGCGUUGUUCGGAAUUACUGGGCGUAAAGCGCGCGCAGGCGGUCUUGCAAGUCAGGGGUGAAAGCCCGGGGCUCAACCUCGGAACUGCCUUUGAGACUGUGAGACUCGAGACCGAGAGAGGAGAGUGGAAUUCCCAGUGUAGAGGUGAAAUUCGUAGAUAUUGGGAAGAACACCAGUGGCGAAGGCGGCUCUCUGGCUCGGUACUGACGCUGAGGCGCGAAAGCGUGGGGAGCAAACAGG
RNAcentral lists this ribosomal RNA (253 nucleotides) under uncultured bacterium. RNAcentral's name for it is "partial 16S ribosomal RNA". It matches the Rfam family "Bacterial small subunit ribosomal RNA", at positions 524 to 776 of the family's 1533-position model. The record is from RNAcentral.